Molecule: ribosomal RNA, 513 nt
Filed under: uncultured bacterium
Lineage: Bacteria
Description: partial 16S ribosomal RNA
Rfam family: Bacterial small subunit ribosomal RNA
Source: RNAcentral
GAUGAACGCUGGCGGCGUGCCUAAUACAUGCAAGUCGAGCGAACAGACGAGGAGCUUGCUCCUUUGACGUUAGCGGCGGACGGGUGAGUAACACGUAGGUAACCUACCUAUAAGACUGGGAUAACUUCGGGAAACCGGAGCUAAUACCGGAUAAUAUUUCGAACCGCAUGGUUCGAUAGUGAAAGAUGGUUUUGCUAUCACUUAUAGAUGGACCUGCGCCGUAUUAGCUAGUUGGUAAGGUAACGGCUUACCAAGGCAACGAUACGUAGCCGACCUGAGAGGGUGAUCGGCCACACUGGAACUGAGACACGGUCCAGACUCCUACGGGAGGCAGCAGUAGGGAAUCUUCCGCAAUGGGCGAAAGCCUGAUGGAGCAACGCCGCGUGAGUGAUGAAGGUCUUCGGAUCGUAAAACUCUGUUAUCAGGGAAGAACAAACGUGUAAGUAACUGUGCACGUCUUGACGGUACCUAAUCAGAAAGCCACGGCUAACUACGUGCCAGCCGCCGCCGUAA